UAUAUUUUUUUUACUAUUCGUCUUAUCCAAAUUUUUUUUGCGAUUGAUAUUUUUGUUUUUGUUAGAUGAUAAUCAUAAAUAGUACUUUACGUGUGACUAAUUUUUUGAAAAUUUUUUGAAAAUUUUUUAAAUAAGACAGAUGGUUAAAUAUUGGACACGAAAACUGAAG
This 169-nucleotide microRNA precursor is filed under the name Oryza brachyantha (malo sina). Its description in RNAcentral is "MIR812 microRNA precursor family". It matches the Rfam family "MIR812 microRNA precursor family", at positions 27 to 193 of the family's 205-position model. The record is from Rfam by way of RNAcentral. Lineage: Eukaryota; Viridiplantae; Streptophyta; Magnoliopsida; Poales; Poaceae.